UAAAACCAUAUAUUAUUUAUAAAAUUUAAUGACGACUCAAGUAAUAAUUCUCUAACCCAAAUUUCAUUCUAAGACCAUGAAGCAUCUAAGAGAAUUACAAAAGACAUUAUAUGAAUAAAUGAUAAAGACUCUUUUGGCAGCCUCCACGAACAAUGCGGCGGGUCACCUCAAUAACUGAAUCAACUAUAGCGAACUCGCCAGCUACUAGCUCCGUCUUUAUCAAUAGUAUCUGCAUAGACAUAUAGGUAAGGAGUGAGUUAUACGUACAUAUAACCGAGUAAGAUCCUCGACCCGCCACUCUGAAUACCUCUGAAAAACGUUUUAGAAAAUACAAACACACAACGAGCACAGAAAUAAUAUGCACAGAAAUCCUUUCACCAUAUAAUUACUCUAUAAGGUCCAAACAAUUAUUCAGCAACAACACUAUGUAUCUCAUCACAAUCUACACUAAGGACUUGUCAUAAACGGCAGUGCUGAAAAUAAACCAAACACCACAACGAGUCCACGUCAUCAUACACAAUGCCCCAAAUCUAAUCUACACAAUGGACUGGUCAUAAGCGGUAGUGCAGGAAAUUAACCAAACACCCCAACGAGUUCACGACAGUAUACACAAUGCCCCAAAUUUAUCACGGUGUCUUAUAUAAUACCCCAAAUCUAUCACGGCGGCAUACACAAUACCCUAAAUCAACCACAGCGACAUACACAAUGACCCAAAUAUAUUACGACGGUGAAUAAAUAAUUUCUAAUGCCCCAACGCCAUAGCACGAGACUACGCCACAUCAUACCAUACCACAAAUCACUUAUUAAAUAAUUUUAGCUUUUUACAAAAUAAUAUAGAUUUGCAGCUGGUCAAAGACCACUGAUUCUGCCAAGCGCACGCUUGUCCCAAUACAUGGACCAGACAGACAAAAUAUACUUUCAAAAUAGAUUUUGAAAAAGCAAUCAUCAAAGCUUAAAGUCUCACUUAUCUCGAAUUCACAAUCAAAGCACUCUUUUCAAUAACUCAAAACUAUACUCUCGAGUCUCCGCAUCACCUCAAACUUGAUGGUUUGGGUUGAAAAUCCCUAUUUUUCUCUUCUCUUUUCCUCUCAAUUCUUGUAUGAAAUGAAUGGAGAAGCUAGAAGAAGCAUCAUGUCACAACCCGAAAUUCUCAGCCUCGGGACCGUGAUGACGCCUAACAUUUCACUUGCUAGGCAAACCAACGUUAGAAAUAGUUUUUAGACAUUUUUAACAAUUCAAGUUAAAUAAUAACUAAGCAACUGAAUAAACUGAAAUAGAGUGAAUAAACAAAAAUAACAGUGAUAUCUAGAUACAAUCCUAGAACUGGUGUCACAAGUACAUGAGCGACUAGAGUACUACAAAUAAAAGUAUGAAUGAAAGCAUAAUUUUCUGAAUUGAAAUAAACAACUAGAAUAAUGUAGAAGGGGACUUCAGAGCUGCAAACGCCAUGCAGUUGUACCUCAAGUCUCUAUCAAGCACCGAAUCCGAGCAAUCUACUGACCGCCGCUAGGACCGACUCCAAAAUAUGCACAAGAAGUGCAGAGUAUAGAAUGAGUAUAACCGACCCCAUGUACUCUAUAAGUGCCGAGUCUAGCCUCGAUGAAGUAGUGACGAGGCUAAGGCGGGUAACUUAUAAUAACCUGUAUGUAAUAUAAUAAAAAUAAUAAUAAUAAUAAUAGGAAAAGAAAAUAAGAAAUGACAGCAAAUGUAAUGACUCGGCCGAUCGUUUUGAGGAUUGCAACCCCAUUUCCUCAUUUACUGCUCAUUUUGUGCUUUAUAGCUGUUAUGUGACUUGUCGGGGUAGUUGCGGAGAGGAGCUUGGAGUCACUGGUCCGCAGAUGCAGAUGGAUUUGUGUAGAUGCGCACCCGCAAGAGCGGGAUUUUUUACCGCAGAAGCGGUUGGUCGUCAUUAAGUGGACUCUGCAGAUGCGGAUGGCUGACCACAAAAGCGGUACCGUAGGAGCAGAUUUUUAGGCCGAAGAAGCGAGAAGGCCUGGGAAGAUUAUUAAUAAAUGAGGGUUCCGAGAUUUUUAAAAUUUUAAGCAUUUCAAGAUCGGGAUUUGGCGAUUUUUGAGAGGAUUGUCGGUGGAUUUCUUGAGGUAAGUCACAUGUGAUUUAAUUUGCUCAAUAAUUUUGUUUCUCCAUUGAUUUUCCGCCUAGAUUUUUUGGAUUUAAGGUGUAAUUUAGGGGUUUGAGACUAGAGAUAUGGAGAGUUUAAUUUGAGGAUUUGAGUGGCAAUAUGAUGUCGGAUUUGGGUAAAUUUGGUAUGGUUAAACUCGUGGUUGAAUGGGUGUUCGGAUUUUAUGAUUUUUAUUGGAUUCCGAGACGUGGGCCUGGGGGUCAGCUUUUGAGUCGACCUUUUGAUUUUUGAUUAAUAGCUUAGUAUUUACUUUUGGAAUUGAUUCAUUUAGCCGUGUUGAUUGUAUCGAACUGUUUGUGGCUAGAUUCGAGGCAUUUAGAGGUCGAUUCGCGAGGCAAGGGGUGUUAGAGUAGAGAUUUGCACGGUUUGAGAUAGGUAACACUUCUAAACUUGGUUCUGAGGGUAUAAAUUCCUGAAUUACGUGUAUUAUGAUUUGUUUGGAGGUGACUCACAUGCUAGGUGAUGGGCGUGCGCCAUAGAAAUUGUGACUUAAUUUAUUCCAUGGAGUUGCGUAAUCAAAUAAUCAUGUCAUUAUCUACAUAUCCUCCACAUGUUAGAGGAAUUGAGCUGGGACACAUGUUAAAGAUCAUGUUUUGGCCACAGAGAUCUUAUUGCUAUUGAAUUACUUGUUUAAAUUUAUAAUUUUGUACUCAGUCACAUCUAUCUUUUGCAUAUCAUAUCUCAGUAUCUGUUGCCAUUCAUUGAUACAUCAUGUCGGGCCGAUUUUCAUGACAUUGUGAGCCCAAUAGACUGGAGCGAGAAGGCUUGAUACCGGGUACUGUACUGAGUGAUUGAGUACUCUGAGCGUGUGAGUACGCGAGGUUUCUAUUGUAGUGUACCACAUACAUCAUUCACAGUGGCAUGUAGGUAUAGAAAUGUCAUAUCCGUCCUAUCAUUUAGAGUUAAUCUAUUUUACUUGUAUUGAGUUUUUAUCUGAUGAACUUGAAAAUAUGCCUACAUUUCUACUCUGUUAUUUUUAUAUUGAAUUGUACCUGUUGAGUUCGUCACUACUUUCAGUCCAAAGGUAAGAUUUGUUAUUUAUUGAGUUGGUUGUACUCACGCUACACCCUGCACCUCGUGUGCAAAUCCAAGUAUUUCUGGUCACGGUGGUUGCUGAGUUGCGGAGUCCUGACAUUCAGAGAUCAUCGAGGUAGCUGCUCGGCGUUCGCAGAGCUUGACUCUCCUCCCUUAUCUUUCAUGAUAUUUAUUUCAGUUUUAUUUUCUAGAUGGUGUACCAGAUUAUAUAUUUAUGUAGAUGCUCAUGUACUCGGUGACACCCCAAUUAUGGGAGAGAUUAUGUAUUGAGUUAUGACUUCCUAUCAUGUUUUUAAAAGAUUUUCCUUUAAUUAAGUUGUUUUCGUAUCUUUCAAAGUUUUAAAGUAUUAGAAAUGUAUGAUUACUCAGCUUGCCUAGUACUAUGAUAGGCGCCAUCACGGCGGGUUUGUUUUGGGUCGUGACAAGUUGGUAUCAGAGCCUAGGUUAUAUAGGUCUCACUAGUCAUGAGCAGGUUUAGUAGAGUCUUGCAGAUCGGUACAGAGACAUCUGUACUUAUCUUCGAGAGACUGCCGAACCCUUGGAAAACUUCACAUUCUUGUAUUCUUGUCGUGCGGAUUUGUUGAUUCCGGUAACUAAACUUAUGUUAUUCUAUUUUCUCACAGAUGGUGAGGACACGUGCUACCGGUCAGGACGGACAGCCACUAGUACCACCAGCACCACCAGCUAGGGCCAUGAGAAGCCGAGGUCACGGUAGGGGCAGAGGUGCAGCUCGUACAACAGCUAGAGCAACACCUACAGAUCCACCAGUUGCUCUAGCUCAGGAGCAGGUACCCGAUAUGGUUGAUCCAGUAGGGCCAGCUCAGGCACCAGCUGUGUCCAUUGUGAUUCCAGGCCAUUUGGAGGCUUUGGCUCAAAUUUUGACUGUGUGCACCAGCCUUGCUCAGGCGGUUUCUGUUCCGGCCGUAGCAGCCACUUCUCAGGCCGGGGGAGGUACUCAGACUCCCGCCGCCUGUACUCCAGAGCAGGGGAUGCAGGGACUCCAGACAUCGGGGGUACCACCAGCCUAGCCAGUUACAACUGCUUAGGCCCAGGUGGGUCCCGUUAUGACUGAUGAUGAGCAUAAGAGACUACAAAUAUUUGGGAGACUCCAGCCUUCAUCAUUCAGUGGGGCUAAGUCUGAGGAUGCCCAGGACCUUUGGGAUAGGUGCUAGCGGAUUCUUUGCACGAUAGUAUUCUAGAGACCAAUGGGGUCUUAUUCACUACUUUUUAGUUUACUGAGGCUGCCUUCAGUUGUUGGGAGACUUAUGAGAGGCGUAGGCCGGUCGGUACAACACCACUUACAUGGCGUGAGUACUCCGUUCUCUUCUUGUAGAAAUUUGUGCCACUGUUUCGCAGGGAGGAGUUGCGCAGACGGUUUGAGCAACUAUGUUAGGAUGGCAUGUCCGUGACCCAGUACGAGAUGAGAUUUUUUGAGUUGGCUCAUCACGUAGUUUCAUUGGUUCCCAUGGAUAGGGAGAGGAUUAGGAGGUUCAUUGAUGGCCUCACAUAUCAGUUGCGAUUGCUUAUGACUAGGGAGAGGAUAUCUGGUGCUACUUUUGAUUAGGUGGUUAAUAUUGCUCGGUAGAUAGAGAUGGUCCGUAGUCCUAGUAAAUCUUAGGAAUACAUUAGAGAAUCUAUAAUUAUGAUACUUCUUUUUUCUCAAACUAAGUGUUUCUUCUCUUUUCCCCCUUACCGUAUUUAUGAGACCCAAAAAACCUUUUUUCUAUAACCGUUAAGUCUUCAAAAUAUAUAAUUUUCUCAUUUCUAAAACCUGUAAUCCCUUUUAUGGAUAAAACUAGCUUUUAAAGUUCACAAAUAAUAGAGGGUAGCAUGGUAAGAAGAUAAUUAAUCCAUAUCCAUCUGUACGUUAGAGUCAACCAUAUCAAGUACAACUUGGUUAGCUAGGGUUUCCUUCUCUUAACUUGAAUCUUAAAAGUUUUAAACACAUGUCUAACUACUAUAGAGUUUUCACAGAAGUGGCAACCCGAAAAGGGUCGCUUAAUAUCUCAAAAAGUUCUUGAGUUUUAAAUAUUCAACUCAUAUUAAAAUUCAUACUAAAAGAUAUUCUAAUCUACAUCUUCUUAUGUGAGUUCUUGCACGCAUAUCAUGUCCAUAUUUUCUAUCUUUCUGGUAAGUGCAACUGCUACAGAAUAGGUUUAUGUCUUCAUAUAUGUAGUUACUACCUUGUUUAAACAAUUAACCAACCUUUCAACAAGCCUCUAAACUUAAGAUGUUGCUUGCACAUCCAGCUGAGAAAGUUUGGUGUUAUAUGUAAGUAUAUCCCUCAUAUAAAUCAAUUUCUUAAAUGAUCUAGCAUGCAAGUUCAUGUCACAAACCGUCAAGAAGGAAGUGAUUCAUAAACACUUUAGUGAAAUUAUUCCCAAAAUUAGGUGUGUUGCUCUUGUUGGCACCCUUAAGAGUACAAUAGUAUUUCAUGUAUUAGCCAUGUUCUCUAGUCUAAAAGUUGCAUGUUCCAUAGGCCUCUUCAUGAAAUAUCCUAUAGCUUAUAACGUGGUAAGUAUUUUACUAAAACCUUUAAGGAUCCUUUAAACUAUCAGAAAUAGUAAACUUAAUAGUUUCAACUUUAGGAAUUUUAUUAAGAAUAUUUUGUUGUUCCCUAUAAUCUUCUAGGUGCAUGAGGACUUUAUAGCCCCUAUUUGUUUCUCAUUUUUCUCAUGUUUAUCCAUUAUAUCCAUAAAGAUCUCAAUUUUUUUUCUUUUUCAUGGAGGUAAGUACCUUUUUGUGAUAGCACUCCUCUAUCGCUGUAGUGGUGGACUAGUAUAAAUUUUUGAAAUGGACUCUAUUACGCAUCUUACCAGGAAGCAUCUCAUAUGGCAUAAUGAACCUUUCAUCGGUCUUGUAUACUACUUAUGUAGCAUUUCUUUGCUUGGAGAUGGUUGCAUGUCCAUUGGCAAAAUUUGACGUCUUUGAAGUUUGAACCUCUAGCCAAAUUCUAUUAUAUGGUAAUUGGUCCGAGCCAUACACGAAUAGGAUAAGUAAUGACAGAUUCAGUUAUUUGGCCCUAAUCGCCACACACGUAUAGAGGAAUAAGAAAUAAAGACAAGACACAUCCUAUCACGUCCUCGCAAAAUCACGAUUAUGGGAAUGGUCAGCUACAUAACCAUAAUUGAGAUUCUACUACCGACGUGUAUUCUAUUAGUCACAAGAACAACCUAAGCUCUUAUACCAAUUUUGUCACGACCCAAUUUAGGAUCAUAACCGGUGCUUAGGAGAAAGUGCUCCCAAGUAAGCCUCAUCGGUAAUUUACGAAAAAUCAGACAAAUUUUCCUUGUUUUAAGACUAUCCAAAAAUAAACAUGUCUUAGAAAUCAACAACACAACUAACAAAUAUCCACCAAACAAGCUAUAAUUCUUAUUCACGAAGUAUUUCCAACACAAUAAUAAUAACUUCAUCUCCAAGUAUACGAUAGGAAAGUCUAAUACGAGUCACAAGUCUAUAUCAAUAAAAAAAAAUACUUAUGACACUUAUAAAAAUGACUAUAGAGCGACUCUAAGAGUUUCAAGAAAGAGACUAUAACAAAUAAAUAACAAUCUUCGCUCACGCGAAUAAAUACGGGGCUCGUCAGGAACUGUUAACUCAUGUACUCUAAUUAACGGAAUCCUCGCCUGCGUCUACUAUUGUCUCUGUUUAAAUAAUAGCGGAGAGUGAGUCGCUAGCUCAGUGAGUAAUAAUACUUAACCACAAUCGUUUUUAAUGGGGACAAGUCAGAAAGCAUGCCUAUAUAAUAACAAUUAGAAACUAUCAUAAAAAUUAAUUGCCCUGUCAAAAACAGUAAAUAUAAUCAGUCUAUUCAUGUACUUCCUGUAACAAAAAUGAAUUUAACAAAUCGGUAAUAAACUCGGUAAACACUGUCUCAUAGCAAAUCUUUAUAUUUGGGAGCAUUUUCAAGAAAGGAUCAUGUAAUUUGUAUCACUAUGUGGACCCCUUCUUAAAAGGAGUCAAAUAUAACUGUAGGUUCCUACUCGAGGGAAAACUGUAACUGUAUGCUAAUUCUACCUUACUUCUAGCGAGGGCUAUAAUUGUACUCGGUAAUCGGUAAAUACAAGGUGCACCAAGUCUAACGAACCCGUUGUUAGCUACGGGAUCCUUCAAAGUCUCCUCCCAUUCAUACUUUUCUUUGUAAAUAGUAAAUAUUCAUAUGGAAGCAUUUUCAAAAUAGUACAGGGCAUUUCAAUUCUUAUCAAAUCAUGUAAUCCGAUUUCGGUAACGAUAAUCAUAUCUCUAAUAACAGUAAAAUAUGUCUAGUAACAGUUAGAACAUUUUUAAUAGCUGUAAACAUCUCAAGUAAACGAUUCAGUACCAUAUCAAGUAAAGGACUUGUCCCACAUGCAAUUUCAAAUAUUAGGUAACAGAUUUUUCUUUCAAAAUAAUGUAUAAACCAUGCAAGUUAUGAAAACACAAAUUGUGGUAAGAUUACUACUCACAGUACUCGUGUUGAAAUAUCAAACUCAUCACCUCGAGCAAUCUGUAUGGCUUCAUUCAAUCAAUCUAUAAUCACAUCAUAUUAAUCUCGUGUAAAUAUUUAUUUUGUGCAGGCUAAUUAUAACUAAUUUAGAAAACUUAACCAUCGGGGUUCAUGUUUGAGUCUAACUUUAUCUAUUUAUAUUUACCCAUGCGAUGGGUAAUUCAACCGGUCUAUUAUCUAUCAAUCCUACAUAUUCAUAAAAUUUACUCAUUAUAUUUUAAUUUACACCAAAUUAAAAACAUGUACCUUUGGACCUCGUUGUGAUAUAUAAAUAGACUGAUAUGUAGUUAGUAAACUGAAGAAGAAAACUUAAGAAUCUGUCAAGAAGGCUCAAAUAUGGAGUUUAAAUGAUACCUGAAGAAAUCGAAAGUUAUUCGAAUUCGCAGUUGCCGAAUGUUGAUACCAUUCUUGGCUUUACAAUUCUGCAGUGCCAAGCUUUUGCACGUUUUUCUCCUUUGCGAAACAUGGAUAAUUUCAAUGCUUUUUUAUUCUCUUCAACUCUUUCAACUCCCUUAAUCUUCA
This 8183-nucleotide long non-coding RNA is filed under the name Nicotiana tabacum (common tobacco). Its description in RNAcentral is "long non-coding RNA (NTAB_LNC013788)". Lineage: Eukaryota; Viridiplantae; Streptophyta; Magnoliopsida; Solanales; Solanaceae. The record is from RNAcentral.